Molecule: ribosomal RNA, 253 nt
Filed under: uncultured bacterium
Lineage: Bacteria
Description: partial 16S ribosomal RNA
Rfam family: Bacterial small subunit ribosomal RNA
Source: RNAcentral
UACAAAGGGGGCUAGCGUUGCUCGGAAUCACUGGGCGUAAAGGGUGCGUAGGCGGGUCUUUAAGUCAGGGGUGAAAUCCUGGAGCUCAACUCCAGAACUGCCUUCGAUACUGGAGAUCUUGAGACCGGAAGAGGUAAGUGGAACUGCGAGUGUAGAGGUGAAAUUCGUAGAUAUUCGCAAGAACACCAGUGGCGAAGGCGGCAUCCUGGACCAACACUGACACUGAGGAGCGAAAGCCAGGGGAGCAAACGGG